Molecule: long non-coding RNA, 2831 nt
Organism: Juglans microcarpa x Juglans regia
Lineage: Eukaryota; Viridiplantae; Streptophyta; Magnoliopsida; Fagales; Juglandaceae
Exons: 2
Source: RefSeq, a predicted model, not a curated record
UUAGUCAAUAAACAUGCAUUUACUUAAGUGAAUAAGCAUUAAAAGAAUAGGAAGCUUAAAUAUUUGCCAGGAAGUGUAUGUGUUAGUUACUUUCUUCUUGGACUACCUCAAAUGCAACAUCCUCAUUGUCGCUUUGUGUACCUUCUGUCCUUCUCUUUGAGUUAUAUGUGAUUAUCUUCUUGGUAGUUUUCUAAGUUAAACACUCAAAAAGUAUUUCUUCUUUGAUAAGUAUGCUCCUAAUAUAGGUCAAAAUUUAUUUCUAAAAGAAGCACCAAUAGAAUCCUCCAACUGAUCUACACCAUCAUCUUCUCCCAUAAUGCCAAGUCUUUGUGAACUUGAGCAUCAUGAACUCUUCUUUUAAAUCCGGAGCAGCUUUAUAAAAUAAGCAUUUCAUUAUGAAAGAACAGAACUGGUGCAGAUUCCUUUUUCUUAUGAAAUGGCAAUUGGUUGGUUCCUUAUAAAUGAGCGAUAAUGUCUAUGAUUCAUUUAGUUUUUCUCAUGUAAAGAGACACUUGAACCUGAUUUCUCCUUUAUAAGAACCUUUAUUAACCACUUUGCUCUAACAUUAGCUUUGAGCCUAAUUUUGGAAUGGCUUCCUAUUGCUGAAGAACAUGCGUUUCAAACUGUGAUGCAACUUUCUUAAAAACCUUACUUUUUGAUCUUUGAAUGUCAGAUAAAUUAACCAAUACUAGUUUGGGUACUUUUGUCAUUCUGUACACUUUGAUCCAUAGGAUACUGAUCAUGAUGUGGUACUUCAUAUACAACCAUUCUGAAUGGUGUAACUCAUGCCUUUUAAGUUUUAACGCUGCAUUGCAUUUUCAGCAUAUCCUAAACUUGUGGUUCAAAGCUAAGAUUGUUGAUUCCUCUAUUGACUAAAAUAUUGUUAACAUGAUUGCACUCUCUCUCUCUCUCUCUCUCUCUCUGGUCCAGGCUUCCAUGUAGAUUUAUGUUUCUCAAGCCAGUGAAUUCUAGUUGUGGCUAGACUAGGUUAAUAGGGCAUGCUGGUAAAUGUGACUCUUCAGGUAGUUUUAGUUUCGUGUUCCGAGGAACAUAAUACAGUAACAAAUAAAAAAAAAUGCAUGAAUGACAAAUUGAUUGCAUCUUACCCCAUUUGUCUUUGUGGCCACCACUGGACAGAUUUAGCAUUACAUCCCAUUUGUCGUCAUAGCUCAAAAGUUGUGGCCACCAUUGGACAGAUUUAGCGUUACAUCCCAUUUUUCAUCAUAGCUCAAAAGUUUUGGCCACCAUUGGACAGAUUUAGCAUUACAUCCCAUUUGUCGUCAUAGCUCAAAAGUUUUGGCCCCCAUUGGACAGAGUUAGCAUUACAUUUUUACGAUUGACAGCUAAUUAUGGUUGAUAACCGAUGAUUGACAGCUAUGGACUGGACUCUGAUAAGUUUAUUGCUACAAGAGACAGCUAUAGACCAAACCUGGGCAGGUGUUAUCACCUAGACUUUCAGUUACAUGCAGCUUACGGGAUUGCCUCUAUAUGAAGUCUCAGUGUCCCUUCAAAAAUUCAUCCAGUACAACUUAAUCCUUCAGUUUCCAUUUCCUUUUAGCUUUACAAAAAUAUAUUUUCUUCUUGUACCCAUGCAUACUAGAAGUUGUCAGCAUAGGAAUACCAUUGUAGUGCUGAUUAUACACGUGAUCGAUUAAGAUGGAAUUUUACCCUUAUCAGAGUGCAGAUGACACAGAUUUUCUUGCUUUCUAUGUAAGUCAAUAGGCACCAAUGCUUCAUAAUAGGACUUCUAUCUGCUUAGAUUUCUUUUUCCUGAUUAAGCUUUAUUCUCAGUACUAAUCAAAUGCAUGAGUUGCAUAUCCGUUGUCAUAACUACCAUCAUGAUGCGCUUAUUUUCAUUCCUGAGUAGGCUAUAUAUUUGAAUUUUGCAUAAAGGACUAAUUAGCAUUUCCAUUGUUUGGAUCUCUAUUCGAUCUCGUGGCAUUGGAAUACUCUUCCAUGUUUGAGUCAAAUUUUGCAGUAGAUUCUGUUAUGACCCUACCCAAACCUGAUUUCUUUUGAAAAUCAUGUUCAUCAUUUGGACUUUCUUGAUAUACUAGAUUAACAUACUGUAUAAAGAUAUGUGGUUGGUUAUGUUUGAGAUGAAAGCCUAAAUGGGAAAAGAAGACCCGGAAAGGUUGCAAAAUAAGGAAAGAAGUAAAAGAACAUAUGGCAAUGGUUUUCACCCAUUCUGAAGCGAAAAUGCAUGGGAACCUAUUCUGUUUGAAACAUAAAUACAUGCAACUAUUCUAUUAAAAGGUAAAUGAAUUCACUCCAGCUGGAUUUUGAUUUGGCGUUUAGGGCUUAAUCUGCUUUUGUAGGCAUGCAGAACAAAGUAGAGAUGAAUUUUUCACCUUAUGAGGAGAUAGUAAUGCACAAUGACCAUGAUCUUUACCCUGAGUUUUUCUGUCGCAAUAUUCACUCAUUUGUACAUAAGAAAUUCGUUUUAAACUUAUAUCUAGUGCAGGCUGCAUGCUUGUUCUUUUAGACUUUUCUUAAUAUUGAACUCCUUAGUGACAUGGUUUCCAAUAGAUUUGCUUAAAGAUUAAUAUUGUGCUAACAAAUAUAGUAGGUAAAAGGUCUUGUUAUCUUUUAUGGUAUCAUGUGGUAAUGACUAUUGUGUGAGGCACAUUAAUGUCAAAUUGUAAAUUUCCAAAAAAGAAUUGAUGGACUUGAGAGCAGCUUUGGUUGUCAUGGUAUGGUCAAACAGAUGGUGAACAAACCAGACAGGGCAUCAACAUGGCAAUGUCAUACCGUUAACGACUGCCUUGAGUUGGUUCAAACUAAGAAGUCAUUCAUCAUUGAAGCACAAAUUUCAUCAAUUGCAGUAGCUC